Molecule: ribosomal RNA, 442 nt
Filed under: uncultured bacterium
Lineage: Bacteria
Description: bacterial SSU rRNA
Rfam family: Bacterial small subunit ribosomal RNA
Source: RNAcentral
AAUCAACGCUGGCGGCGUGCCUCAGACAUGCAAGUCGAACGCGAAAGUCCCCUUCGGGGGACAAGUAGAGUGGCGCACGGGUGAGUAACACGUAGGUAAUCUACCUUCGGAUGGGGAAUAACAACCGGAAACGGUUGCUAAUACCGCAUAAUGCAGCGGCACCUAAUGGUGACAGUUGUUAAAGCGGGGGAUCGAAAGACCCCGCGUCUGAAGAGGAGCCUGCGGCGGAUUAGCUAGNGGUUAAGGUAAUGGCUUACCAAGGCGACGAUCCGUAGCCGGCCUGAGAGGGCGGUCGGCCACACUGACACUGACAUACGGGUCAGACUCCUACGGGAGGCAGCAGUCGGGAAUUUGGGCAAUGGGCGAAAGCCUGACCAGCAACGCCGCGUGAAGGAUGAAAUCCCUCGGGAUGUAAACUUCGCAAGAACGGGAAGAAUAAGUA